This 473-nucleotide ribosomal RNA is filed under the name uncultured bacterium. RNAcentral describes it as "SSU rRNA". It matches the Rfam family "Bacterial small subunit ribosomal RNA", at positions 26 to 518 of the family's 1533-position model. The record is from RNAcentral.
AGGACGAACGCUGGCGGCGCGCCUAAAACAUGCAAGUCGAACGAGAAGCCCGGGCUUGCCCGGGUGGACAGUGGCGAACGGGUGAGUAACACGUGAGGAACCUGCCCCGAAGACCGGGACAACAUCGGGAAACCGUUGCUAAUACCGGAUGCCCUCGAAGAAUCGCAUGGUUCAUCGAGGAAAUGGAUUCCGCUUCGGGAUGGCCUCGCGGCCUAUCAGCUUGUUGGUGAGGUAAUGGCUCACCAAGGCAUCGACGGGUAGCUGGUCUGAGAGGAUGUCCAGCCACACUGGGACUGAGACACGGCCCAGACUCCUACGGGAGGCAGCAGUUAGGAAUCUUGCGCAAUGGACGAAAGUCUGACGCAGCGACGCCGCGUGCGGGAUGACGGCCCUCGGGUUGUAAACCGCUUUCAGCAGGGACGAAUUGACGUACCUGCAGAAGAACGCCCGGCUAACUACGUGCCAGCAGCCGC